UACGUAGGGCGCAAGCGUUGUCCGGAAUUAUUGGGCGUAAAGAGCUCGUAGGCGGUCUGUCGCGUCUGCCGUGAAAACCCGAGGCUUAACCUCGGGCUGGCGGUGGAUACGGGCAGACUAGAGGUAGGUAGGGGAGAAUGGAAUUCCCGGUGUAGCGGUGAAAUGCGCAGAUAUCGGGGGGAACACCGGUGGCGAAGGCGGGUCUCUGGGCCGAUACUGACGCUGAGGAGCGAAAGCGUGGGGAGCAAACAGG
This 253-nucleotide ribosomal RNA is filed under the name uncultured bacterium. Its description in RNAcentral is "partial 16S ribosomal RNA". It matches the Rfam family "Bacterial small subunit ribosomal RNA", at positions 524 to 776 of the family's 1533-position model. The record is from RNAcentral.